Non-coding RNA from Pelobates cultripes (western spadefoot toad), 218 nucleotides. Lineage: Eukaryota; Metazoa; Chordata; Amphibia; Anura; Pelobatidae. The record is from the annotation of a GenBank genome assembly.
ACACACUACAUUCCUUGUCAGCAAACACAUACAACAUUCUCUAAACACACCCUCUCUACAACCCCUACACACACUACGUCACCUAUACACACACACUACAGCCCGUAUGCACACAUUCGCUACAUCCCCUAUAACACUAUGCCACCUAUACACACACUCUCUACAGCCCCUAGCCACACAUAUUACACCACAAACACAUAUGAAAUUGACCUAUUUAC